UGGUGGGUUGCCUUGUCAGGUUGAUUCCGGUAACGAACGAGACCUCAGCCUGCUAAAUAGUCACGGUUGCUUUUGCAGCCGGCCGACUUCUUAGAGGGACUUUUGGCGCCUUAGCCAAAGGAAGUGUGAGGCGAUAACA
This 139-nucleotide ribosomal RNA is filed under the name uncultured eukaryote. Its description in RNAcentral is "partial 18S ribosomal RNA". It matches the Rfam family "Eukaryotic small subunit ribosomal RNA", at positions 1299 to 1458 of the family's 1831-position model. The record is from RNAcentral.